Molecule: small nuclear RNA, 106 nt
Organism: Artibeus jamaicensis (Jamaican fruit-eating bat)
Lineage: Eukaryota; Metazoa; Chordata; Mammalia; Chiroptera; Phyllostomidae
Source: RefSeq, a predicted model, not a curated record
AUGCUCGCUUCAGCGGCACAUGCACUAACACUGGAACGAUACAGAGAAGAUGAGCAGGUCCCCCUGCAAGGAUGAUACACAGAUAUGUGAAGUGUCCCAUAUUUUU